UACGGAGGGUGCAAACGUUGCUCGGAAUCACUGAGCGUAAAGCGCACGUAGGCGGUCCGAUAAGUCGGAUGUGAAAGCCCUGGGCUCAACCUAGGAAGUGCAUUCGAAACUGUCGGACUUGAGUACGGGAGAGGGUUGCGGAAUUCCCGGUGUAGAGGUGAAAUUCGUAGAUAUCGGGAGGAACACCAGUGGCGAAGGCUGCAGCCUGGACCGAUACUGACGCUGAGGUGCGAAAGCGUGGGGAGCAAACAGG
This 253-nucleotide ribosomal RNA is filed under the name uncultured bacterium. Its description in RNAcentral is "partial 16S ribosomal RNA". It matches the Rfam family "Bacterial small subunit ribosomal RNA", at positions 524 to 776 of the family's 1533-position model. The record is from RNAcentral.